Molecule: long non-coding RNA, 526 nt
Filed under: Nicotiana benthamiana
Lineage: Eukaryota; Viridiplantae; Streptophyta; Magnoliopsida; Solanales; Solanaceae
Description: long non-coding RNA (NBEN_LNC040573)
Source: RNAcentral
UACAAGAAAAUACUCGCUGAGAAAAUCAUUGAUGUGGCAUAGUCUUUUGCUAAGGUAAAUGCUAAUGUAUUAUCCACUCAGUGCAAUGGAGGGAUAUACUCGUUAGAGGUGUUUAAAGGAUUAACUUUGAUCAAGUGUCAGUGUCUAGAUAAAAAUUUAUAAAGUAUGAGGAAUGAGAUGUCAAAACAGUAUAAGUAUGGGUGUAUAUUAGACUAUUUUCCUUAUAUUUUUAUGGGAGGUUGUGAGGUGCAAUUAGAUUAUACAUACUUCUUUUAUUAAUGCUUCAUGUUAUAGCUUUUCGGAUGAUUUUUCCUUAUUUCUGAGAGCCCCAGAGACUGGAGAGAUUGAUAACUGAGUGAGGCCGAGGGCCUGAUUGUGAGGAUAUUUAUGGGAUCGGGUUGUACACCAAAACAUAUUUCAUUAUUUUUGCCAUGAUUGGCUUGAUAUAGCGCUUGGGCUGUAGGAACCCCUUCGAAGUCUAAACGUACCCCGUGUGAGCGCAUGUACCUACUGAGUGCGAGUGCCG